AUGGCUUCCGGCGAGGCUCCUGAUGGGCGGAUUCGCGAGGCAGGGGGUUCCCGGAGGAGCGACCGGAGCAGCAGCGAUACCCUGCGUCGGCGUCACGCAGCUGGAGCAGUCACCAAGCGCGUGAAGGACGAAGUGCCGGACCCCUCGGAGCCGCCGCCGGCCGCGGCGCCUCGCCCUGUCCAGAGCAGAGAGGAGCAGUUCGUGUGGCCGUGGAUGGGCGUGCGGAGAGGCGGACGACAGAUCGGGGAGAGCGGGAACCGGCUCAAGGAGCGGCUCGCCGCCUUCUGCCCGCACAAGGUCGUGCCUUUGUGGAGCCACAGAGGCCACACCGGGAACGCCAUCGUCGAGUUCGGGAAGGACUACGCCUCUCUCGGCCACGCCUUCAGCUUCGAGAACCACUUCGAGGCGCAGGGCCACGGCAAACGGGGCUGGGAGGCGAGCAGGUACCGAGGUGCGCCGGAGAUGUUUGGGUGGGUUGCGAGGGCCGACGAUCGACGAACGCCGGGGCUCGUCGGGGAGUACCUGCAGAGGAACGGCGAUCUGAAGUCUGUUGCAGAGCUUGAGAGCGAGGGGACGCGCAAGACUGACAAGCUGGUGGCCAAUUUGGCCGGCCAGAUUGAGGUGAAGGCCAAGCAUGCCCAAGAGCUCGAAUCCAAGUACAGUGAGAGGACUACAUCAAUGGACAACGUGAUGGAAGUGAAGGAGCUCAUUCUCCAGAGAUACAACCAUGAAAUCCACAAGAUGCAGCAACUUGCUCGUCGGCACUCGCAGAGGAUCAUCGAUGAGAAUCAGAAGGUCCGUUCGGAGCUGGAUUCCAAGAUGCAGGUUCUUGAAUUCAAAUCCAAGCAGGUCGAUGAGCUUGCUGUGCGUAGCGAAUCUGACAUAAGGAAUCUUGAGAAGGAGAAGGAAAAGAACAUGAUCAAAGCAAAAUUUCUCAAGAUGGCAACAUUGGAGCAACAGAAGGCCGACGAAAAUGUCCUGAGGCUUGUGGAGAAACACAAGAGGGAGAAAGAAGCUGCUGUAGAUGAGAUUAUCAAGUUAGAGCAGAAACUGGAUGCCAGACAGAAGCUUGAGUUAAAAAUAAGACAGCUGCAGGGAAAAUUGAAUGUUAUGAAGCAUAUGCCAGGUGAGGAAGACUUUGAAUCAAAGAGGAAAAUUGAUCAACUUAGCGAGGAGCUGCAGGAGAAGUAUGAUGAAAUAAAUGAGAUGGAAUCACUCCACGGGGCUCUGCUUAUGAAGGAAAGGAUGAGCAACGAUGAGUUGCAAGAUGCUCGGAUGAAGCUAAUAGAUGGCUUGUUGGAUAUCACAACUGGCCGAGCAAAUAUAGGCAUUAAAAGAAUGGGUGAUCUUGAUCUGAAAUCAUUCACGAUUGCCUGCAAACGUAAAAUGGCAAAAGAAGAUGCAGAAGUUACUGCUUCCAUUCUUUGUUCAAAGUGGGAGGAUGAGAUUAGAAAUCCAGAAUGGCACCCGUUUAAAGUUGUCAUGGAUGGCGGCAAAGCGAAGGGAGGGAUGCCUAACAAUGGUUAUGCCCCUUUCUGGAUCGGGGCAGUUCGUCGCAAAUCUCAGAAAAUGGGGAAAAGUGCAGCAGGCGUGAACCAUGGCAUAUUCCCAUAA
RNAcentral lists this ribosomal RNA (1614 nucleotides) under Triticum aestivum (bread wheat). RNAcentral's name for it is "partial small subunit ribosomal RNA". The record is from RNAcentral. Lineage: Eukaryota; Viridiplantae; Streptophyta; Magnoliopsida; Poales; Poaceae.